AAAACGACAAUCAGUCACACGUCAAGAACGGAGA
Molecule: microRNA, 34 nt
Filed under: Trypanosoma vivax Y486
Lineage: Eukaryota; Euglenozoa; Kinetoplastea; Trypanosomatida; Trypanosomatidae
Description: partial non-coding RNA
Source: RNAcentral